Molecule: ribosomal RNA, 497 nt
Filed under: uncultured bacterium
Lineage: Bacteria
Description: partial 16S ribosomal RNA
Rfam family: Bacterial small subunit ribosomal RNA
Source: RNAcentral
GAUGAACGCUGGCGGCGUGCCUAAUACAUGCAAGUCGAGCGAACAGACGAGGAGCUUGCUCCUCUGACGUUAGCCGCAGGCGUGUGAGUAACACGUGUAUACUCUCCCUAUCAGUCGGGUAUAACUUCGGGAAACCGGAGCUUAUACCGGAUAAUAUAUUGCACCGCAUGGUUCAUUGGUGAGAGACGGCGUUUGUGUCUCUUAUAGAUGCUUCCGGGCCGGAUUAGCUAGUUGGUAAGGUAACGGCUUACCAAGGCUACCAGGCGUAGCCGACGUGAGGGGGUGAUAGCCCACCUGAGAAGUGAGACAGGGACAAGACUCCUACGGGAGGCAGCAGAAGGGAAUCGUACGCAGUGGGCGAAAGCCUGGCGGAGCAACGCCGCGCGAGUGAUGACGGUCUUCGGAUCGUAAAAAUCUGUUAUUAGGGAAGAACAAAUGUGUAAGUAACUAUGCACGUCUUGACGGUACCGAAUCAGAAAGCCACGGCUAACUACGUG